GAUGAACGCUAGCGGCAGGCUUAACACAUGCAAGUCGAGGGGCAGCACGGUGUAGUAAUACAUUGGUGGCGACCGGCGCACGGGUGCGUAACGCGUAUGCAACCUACCUUUAACUGGGGAAUAGCUUCGAGAAAUCGGAAUUAAUGCCCCAUAACAUAUUGAAUACGCAUGUAUUUAAUAUUAAAGCUCCGGCGGUUAAAGAUGGGCAUGCGUGACAUUAGCUAGUUGGUAAGGUAAUGGCUUACCAAGGCUACGAUGUCUAGGGGGUCUGAGAGGAUUAACCCCCAAACUGGUACUGGGACACGGACCAGACUCCUACGGGAGGCAGCAGUGAGGAAUAUUGGUCAAUGGGCGCAAGCCUGAACCAGCCAUGCCGCGUGAAGGAUGAAUGCCUUAUAGGUUGUAAACUUCUUUUGUACGGGGUGAAACUCUCGAACGUGUUCGAGAUUGACGGUACCGUACGAAUAAGCACCGGCUAACCCCGUGCCAGCAGCCGCCGUAA
Molecule: ribosomal RNA, 502 nt
Filed under: uncultured bacterium
Lineage: Bacteria
Description: partial 16S ribosomal RNA
Rfam family: Bacterial small subunit ribosomal RNA
Source: RNAcentral